CAAUAGCGUAUUGUAAAGUUGUUGCAGUUAAAAAGCUCGUAGUUGGAUUUCGGGCUCGACGGCGACGGUCAGCCGCAAGGUAUGCCACUGUCGACGUUGGCCUUCUUCGCGCAGACUUCGCGUGCUCUUAACUGAGUGUGCGUUGGAUACGCGACGUUUACUUUGAAAAAUUAGAGUGUUCAAAGCAGGCUUGUGCCCAAUGAAUACAUAAGCAUGGAAUAAUGGAAUAGGACUUUGGUUCUAUUUUCCGUUGGUUUCUGGAACCGAAGUAAUGAUUAAUAGGGACAGUUGGGGGCAUUCGUAUUUCGUUGUCAGAGGUGAAAUUCUUGGAUUUACGAAAGACGAACUAAUGCGAAAGCAUUUGCCAAGAAUGUUUUCAUUAAUCAAGAACGAAAGUUAGAGGAUCGAAGACGAUUAGAUACCAU
This 425-nucleotide ribosomal RNA is filed under the name uncultured eukaryote. RNAcentral describes it as "SSU rRNA". It matches the Rfam family "Eukaryotic small subunit ribosomal RNA", at positions 592 to 1018 of the family's 1831-position model. The record is from RNAcentral.